Vigna umbellata (rice bean) is the source of this 539-nucleotide non-coding RNA. The record is from RefSeq and is a predicted model, not a curated record. Lineage: Eukaryota; Viridiplantae; Streptophyta; Magnoliopsida; Fabales; Fabaceae.
GUGAUAGGUCCAGGCAGAAAGAUACACUUUAUCCCCACACGGUCUAUUUCCUUACCAAUGAAGUAGGAAAUUAGACAAGAAUUCUAUUACAACUAAGGUAUUUCGAGAGACCUCACUCUCCACAACCUUUCCUCCAAACUAGAUACAAAAGACACAACCUCCUCCCACCCACCUAAACAGACUGUUUUUAUAAAGUCUGUAACAGCUAUGACAUAACUGCCCUAACUGUCAUGUUUUUUUCCUUCUAUUAUAGACAAUGCCAAACCUAUCAAUACCCCCUCCAUGAAGUUUGAUCUUGUCCUCAAGGUGAAAAUCUGGAAAUUCCUUGCUGAUUGAAGAGGCCCUUCCCAACUAUUGUCCGAAUUUGGAAGUGUGGAAGGUAAAGGCAGGAUAACAGUAGCUGGCUGGACUGCUCUUUUGAGGAGAGACACACGAAACACUGGGUGGAGUCUGCUUUCUUUGGCAAUGUAAUUGGUGUAUCCGUGCCCGAAUCUCGGUUUUUUCCAUUGGAUGUAACAUCAGAUCUAUUACUUCUCCAG